UCCCACGCCCUGGGUGGCCCUUGCCUGCUACUGUACCAGCUCCAUAAAGGCGAGCAGGGAGCUGGGAGCCUCAAGGAUGCUGUGGUCGGAUCAGGUGGUGAACUGCAGUUGCUCCACCCUCCGUUGAUGUUGCUGGACAACCUAAGAAGGGGGUGGGAAGGGGACAAGGGGGCAGAGGGGCCCUGCUGCUGCUCCUUAUCUUCCUAACUCCAGGUUCCCAUGGCCCAGAUCUCACACUUUCUUCCCCAGCUGCCUAAGGGCAGGGAUGAUGCAGACCAACUGUUCCUUGAGGGUGGCAGCUAUGUCUCCCCCAUCAGGAUGCUUCCUGAGCCCUCAGGUCCUUCUCUAGCCUCCUGGGUAACCUCUGCAUAUAGAGGGUGCCUGGGCAGAGAAGUGAUUCGGGUCUCUGGCUUUCCUCUCAUCCUCAGGCUCCUCAGCUAGGAGGUGGAUGGUGAUGUGACCAUGGGUGUCCGGGGUAGAGUCGGUCAGCCAGUAAUGCUCACACAGCACCUGGGACCAGAAGGUUGGAGAGGGGAAGGGCGGCUGUGGGCCCAGCCCUAUCACUGCCGCCCCCUGCUUUACUCAGUCCCACCCCUCCCUGCCCACCUUUCUGGUCCCUGCCACCCUGCUGGGAUUCUGCUCUCUGUAAUGACCCAGCUCCAAGGCUUCCUCCUCCAGGAGCUGCUCUCCCUUGCCUGGGCUCCGGCACCCUUGCCCUCAGACCUCUCAUGACUCUCAGGAUUCUGAGUCAGCCACAAGGUUCCUGUGCCAAACAGAACAGCCCUUAUUCCGCGGCCAGCGGCCCUGGGCUCACUGCUCCAGCAAGAGGACAGACUCGGCAGCCUCUCUGCAUGUCCUAGGAAACCCUAUCUCUACUAAAAAUACAAAAAAUUAGCUGGGUGUGGUGGUGCAUGCCUGUAGUCCCAGCUACUCAGAAUGCUGAGACAGGAGAAUUGCUUGAACCUGGGAGGCAGUACUGGUCUUAAAUAGGACGUAGAUGGAGAGACUGGGGUAGAAAGUUUAUUCAAAUAAACAAUAACAGAGAACCUUCCAAACUUAGAGAAAGACAUGAAUACCUAGGAACAUGAAGAUCAAGAAUACUUAGAAUAUUCAAGCCAAAUAAAAUUACCUCAAAGUAUACAAUAAGCAAACUCUCAAAGGUCAAAGAUAAAGAAAGGAUCCUAAAAGCAGCAAGAGAAAAGAAGCAAAUAACAUAAAAAGGAGCUCCAACACACUUGGCAGCAGACUUCUCAGUGGUAACCUUACCAGCCUGAGGAAAUAGAAUGACAUUCAAAGUAUCAAAGGAAGAAAAACUUUGGACUAGAAUAUUAUACCCAGCAAAA
RNAcentral lists this long non-coding RNA (1343 nucleotides) under Homo sapiens (human). Its description in RNAcentral is "non-protein coding lnc-SPTLC1-3:1". The record is from RNAcentral. Lineage: Eukaryota; Metazoa; Chordata; Mammalia; Primates; Hominidae.